This is a long non-coding RNA of Bombyx mori (domestic silkworm), 965 nucleotides long. RefSeq lists it as uncharacterized. Lineage: Eukaryota; Metazoa; Arthropoda; Insecta; Lepidoptera; Bombycidae. The record is from RefSeq and is a predicted model, not a curated record. The transcript is spliced from 2 exons.
UAAAACUUUAGAAAUUUUAUGAAACUAUGUGGUUGUACAUGUGUUGAAUUUAUUUAAUAAUAUUCAAUUUAUACAAUCCAGAUGUUAUUGUUCUACAUCUACAUUUUGGGGAAGUUGUAUAGCCCAAAACUAGGCGAGGGAAGUCCAUAAUCUGCACGCAAUUACGGCCCAAAUAAUGAGAAAUCCGCUGAUAGGACGCACGUUCCAAACUUAGAACACAGUGACAAUAUUGCUACAGUUUAUAUUAAAUAUGAAGUCAACAUUGAUCGUUUUGAUUUGGUUCGUAUUCAUGUUGGGGGUGUAUUCUCGUUCACGGAAGCCGGAAAUAAAUAAACACGGAGCUGAAAUUCUUCAGCCGGCGCAAGUUGCAGUUGUCAUGAAGAGUGCCUUCGCCGAGGACUCUCCACAGUGGAUAGAGGAAAUCUGCCCUAAUGGAUACCAAAUGGAUGUGACUGGAAUAUGCCGUGAGGUGUGGUACGACGAUUACCAAUACAAUAAUGGUUAUUAAGUUGAAAAUAAUACAAGAAGAAAACGUUCAAAUAAAGUUAUGUGUGAUUACCAGACUUUUUUAGAUUAACGUUGCCAAAAAGUGUUUUUUUUUACUAAUUUUGUUAAAUUGAGUGUCAUAAUCAACGACCAGCGCCACGAAUUUAUGUGACCAACAGUGGUUUUUAAAAAUUAAAAUUUACUUGUAAAUUAUAUUUGUUAAAAAGAAUGAGCGAAAAAGUGUAAAAAUUUCCAGUGUUUUUUUUUUCUUCUUGAUGACAUAACAUUUAAUUCUCUAUGGCAUUUUGGCGUUUAAGGUGUCUUUUUUUUGUAGUCUAGCCUUGCCUUGUAAACGAUUAUUGUUAAAUCACGCAUGUAAAAAAAAAAAUCAUAUUGUACAAUUUACCUAAGCAAAAUGUUUUUUUUUUAAAUUGAUCUAAAAAUGAUUUUAAGAGUAAUAAAAAUACGUAAAGUGCCUA